Molecule: ribosomal RNA, 450 nt
Filed under: uncultured bacterium
Lineage: Bacteria
Description: bacterial SSU rRNA
Rfam family: Bacterial small subunit ribosomal RNA
Source: RNAcentral
GUGGGGAAUCUUGCGCAAUGCGCGAAAGCGUGACGCAGCAACACCGCGUGAGGGAAGACGGCCUUAGGGUUGUAAACCUCUUUCAGAUGGGACGAAGGUUGUCCGGUGAAUAGCCGAGAUGAUUGACGGUACCGUCAGAAGAAGCUCCGGCUAACUACGUGCCAGCAGCCGCGGUAAUACGUAGGGAGCGAGCGUUGUCCGGAAUCAUUGGGCGUAAAGAGCACGUAGGUGGAUCAAUUAGUCUGCUGUGAAAGUCGAAGGCUCAACCUUCGAAAGCCGGUGGAUACUGUUGAUCUAGAGUACGGAAGAGGCGAGUGGAAUUCCUGGUGUAGCGGUGGAAUGCGCAGAUAUCAGGAGGAACACCAAUAGCGAAGGCAGCUCGCUGGGACGUAACUGACACUGAGGUGCGAAAGCGUGGGGAGCAAACAGGAUUAGAAACCCCUGUAGUCC